UACCGAACCUUCUCACUGCCAGCCAUAAUUACAAUGAAUACACCAAAGAAAAAGACAUGUUUUUACAGCAAACCUCCUCCUAUGACAUUGCAUUUAGAUUCGGUGGAAAGAAGCAAGUCAGCAGAACCAACAGAGAUAGAUACUAAUUUUUCUAAUCACACCGUAGAAAGUACCAAUUAAAGUUUUCUUUUUUACCUGCAACAUUUUAGAUGAAACUCUACAAAAAGAAUUGAGCACACUGAUUUUCUCCACACUUUUUGCCAAUGUAGGUUGGCUUUAAUAGAAAGAAGCAAUUCCAUAUACUCUUCAAAGGUGAUUUCAAUUUUAUAGUUUAAUCUAAAAUUUUUCCCAGAAUUAUUAUAUCCAUGAACUAGUAGUCAGAUUAUAUUAUAUGAGAAAAAAUAAUGUUUUAAUUUUUCUAUUUUCUUAACUCCAGCCUCAAACUUUGCUCUUGAGAAAUAGUUUGCACACAUGUGGAAUAAUAUUAAAAUGUGCCAUAAUAGAAUUAAAGAGACCAAAAAGACACCUUUUUCCCCAGUGCUUUUUAGACUGACUAUGCUGCACGGUAACUGGAAUUUUAGUAAUAUUUCAGACUUGUUAAAGAUUAAGCAGGCUUUUUGAUGGAGCUAUAUUUGUUCUCUUCUCUCUAGUGUCUCUAUGAUGUACCCUAGUGGCCAUCAGACAUCCUAAAUUGUGAGUCCUGUAUAUUAAUUAUAAGGGGAGUGUCUAUAGUAACCUAUCAACACCCAACGGUGCUCAAGACUGAAUGAUAAACAGUGACAGAUUGAUUCCUUGCUUCCGGUGUUUACUGGAGAAACAAACAUUAAUCCUCUUGCAGUUAUCACCUAUGGAGCUUCCUACUAGAAGGUUCUAUGACUUCAAUGAAGGAUAUUUACAUACUAUUAUCAGACUUCUCCAAGGCCUAUAAACUAUUGUGCAUUUCUAUAAAAUAGUCACAUUUGCUACAUUUAUAGGACUUCUUGAUAAUAACGAUACAACUUGGAACAGACAUGAUUACAUCUCUAAAGUGACAGAGGUAUAUGAAGGAAACACAUAAGGAAGUAGGGGUCAAGCCAGAAAAAGUUAAGGCACCCUCUGCCACUCCCCACUCCCACUGAAUCAACCAUCUCCCUCUUCUCCACAGCUUCAACAAGAAAAAAAUUACCUGAAAGAAUUUUAGCACAAUAUAGAGAUCAAUAGAAACACAGAGGAGUGACCAUAAAAUAUAAUUCCUCUUCUGUGCUUUAAAAAGUUAGAGUCAUAGGCUUUGAUUAUCUGGCAAAUGCUCGCAGGCAUGUAAGUCAAUUUAAAAUAUGGUAUUUAUUCCUUAUGUAUUAGAGACAGAAGAAAUCAGAAAUGUUGGCACCAGAGAAAACAAAUUAGAGGGAAACAGAAACAUGUAUUUUCCCUUACUGAAAUGGUGAGCAGGGGCUGUGUUAUGUUUCAAUAAGCUUUUCAUUCAUGCACUUGUUUCAAUCUCUCACCCCUAAGAUGUAUGUAAAAAAUUCAAAAGACAAGUCUGGGCUGAGGGUAAAGCAGAUGGUAUCCAUUUUCUUAUGAUAGAAGGGAAAAAAAGCUACAGCAAUUAUAGAUUCAAGUCUCCUUCCACUUGCAAAAUAGAAAUUUUCUAGUGCUCAACCUAAAUAUUGUGGCCUCAUAUUUAGGAGUUUAUAAACAGACGCUCUGGGCUUCAGACUUCCUGUGAGUUAGUCUCUAGGACUUUUAAAGAAGCUAUGUAGGAACUGGUAGAAUAUUUGAUAUCUCCCUAGCUUCAAGGACUCAGACUAUCCAUAUGAAUGAGGGGGAAAAGUUCCACUUUAGAAUCACUGGCAGGGCUAUAACUAGGUCGGGGUGAUCAGACUCUGCCACAAAACACCCACAUUUAGACAGCACGAGUUUAAGCAAAAACAAAACAGUUUAAGGCAGUGUAAAAUUUUGAGGUCCUCAGCGAAUUUCCACACUACCUCUCUAGUCACAAUGCUACUAGCUCAACUCUGGAGCCAAGGCAGCUCUCCUGGGAGAGGACAGAGACUGACGGUGCUAAAAAGCCAAGGUUAAGGGUAGAGAGCACUCUGCCCUUUUACAUCCUGAGAGUGUGGGGAUAGGGUCAUCUCCUUUCAACUUGCCUCACCCUCCUCCUAGCACAUAGUGGAAUGAAGUUGCUAGUUAUGUUUACUGCUGACUUUAUUAGAGGUUUUGACCUAGGUUGCCAGGCCUUGAAAUUGUUAACCCACUUCUACCACUUCCACCCCUGACGUGUGCCCAAUAAAAGUCAUAUAACCUGAGAGUCGACCUAUACGACGGGAAGAUAAAGAAAAAGCACAACAUUACUCUCAGUCCUUAUUCCUCCACAAGUUUGCGUCAAGUUCACAUAAACGUCCUUACAGCUUUUGAUCUUUGGAAUUCUACAAACAUAGAGAAUAUAUUACCUGGUGCUGGUGGGAAAGUAUUUACACAACACAAUGAACAUUUCCUAAAGUUUUCAGUGGACUGGUAACAUUCCCCUCCCCCUUAGGUCCCUCCUAACAAGUAUUUGUCAGUGAAAAAUUUCACAAAGUCAAUAUUUCAACCACAGAAGUUAAAACUCUGGAUGGCUGACUUUCUAUUAAUAAUCAAAAAAUGUAUAUAAUAAAGUUAUAAAACUGGAAUAUGUAGCUGCUGACGAAAAGAAAUGUUAUCAAUAUUGUUUCCAUUUUGGAUCAUCUAUAACACUCUUGUAAAGCCUUUGACUAAUCCAAGGGUAUUUUUGGCAAAUUUAAAAUCCCAGGAUUUUUUCAGUUAUUUUCCAUUUUAAGCCAUGUUGUCCAGAUUGCUUCAGGUACAAGUUAUAUAUAGCCUAAACAAUUUUUUUUAGCCAAGAGAAAGACA
Molecule: long non-coding RNA, 2868 nt
Filed under: Homo sapiens (human)
Lineage: Eukaryota; Metazoa; Chordata; Mammalia; Primates; Hominidae
Description: HSALNT0186489
Source: RNAcentral